GGAAGGUGUUGUGUGCGGAAUUUGGAUGUGGAAGCCCGUGCACUAUGAAUACAGUAGCAAUGGAGGAUGCAGGUGAUGUGGGGAGCUUCUGGGAGAGGGGAGGCAUGAGCAUCCCACAGCAACCAGGAGCACCAUGGCUUCUGAGUGAGGAUAUCAUCAAGGGAUGAGACCCCGCCUGCCUGAGAAUUCCAAGGCUACCAGGCAACUCAGAAUGGCAGGGCUGGGAGGAAUCUGAGACAUCAAAAUCCACUUCUAAUUUUUCACACACUGCUCUGAGACCUGGCUAAGAGUAGUGGCUGUAGUAGCGGCAGGUCCACACUUUGACAACAGAGUCACAGCUUUAAAUCAAGCUGGCAUCAUCUCACAACUGGAUUAUUGUACCAAUUUCCUAAAGGGCUCCAUGUCUCCAGGCCUACCCACCCCCAGGGCAUCCUCUACAGAAGAGCAAAGUGUAGUCCUUGAACCAGCAGCAUCAACAUUACUUGGACGCAUCAUAGCAAUGUAAAUUCUCAGGCCCCAUCCCAGAACUACUAAAUCAGAAAUUCUAGAGGUAGAGUUCAGUACCCAUGUUUCAGCCUGCCUUCCAGAUAAUCCUGAUGCUCAAUAAAGUUUAAGAACCACUGCUCUAUGGUAUACAAUUUAAGCCAAAGUCCAUGCUACCUUCUAGCUUAAAAAUUCUUCAUUGUCCCCCUUACGGUGAUUCUCAAACUUGCUAGCCUAGCUCUCCACGUACUUUGCAAUAUAUCCUCAUUCUACAUCUCUGGUCACAUUGCUUACUGCGCCCUGACCCAUAUCUCAAGCCCAGCCAUGCUGCUCUCCAGACUGAACCCCAGAGUGGGGCAGCUUCCUCCUUAGCUACCUCCAGGAAUAACAUCCAUGUGUCCAAGAACUGUAUUAUUAUCCUGUUGAAAGCACACCCACGGCAGAGUUGACCAUCCUGAGGAUGGAUUCACCAUGCAGAGGCAGUAGACAAGGCUGGCAGUGGAAGGAGAAUUGCCACGUGCUGAGUGCCUGCUACUGGCUGACCCCAUAGUGGAUCAACUUCCCUACAAUGUCUCACUGAAUAUCUACAAAAAAUUUUUAAAAACCUGUGAAGGACUGAUGGAAAUAAGGAGGUAAGUAUACCCAAGCCCAAAAGCAAAUGUGAGCAGGAAGACCUUCCUGGAAUCAAAAGUAGAAUAAGAACAGGUGUAAAAAGACAAAAAAAGCCACUGCCUUUCUUCAGGGCCCCUCUAGGGUCCUGGAGCCCAACAACCAGCCCAGGGUCCAUCCUCUGAAAGCCUCAAUGCAUUUUCUCCCUUUGCUGAAGCAAGGGAGAAAGACAACAAAGAGCUUCUCUCUUUGUUGAAGCAAGAAAUCCAAAGGGCACUUGUUGCAAGCCCUCGAUCCAAAGACCCAGCAGUUCUGUUUUUGCUGAGUCAGGAUAACACAGAACCAGUCACAGAAAGAACAUGGGGACAUCAGGGCCUGUAAGUGAGCACAGAGUUCAAUGCUGGGAGUCCAGGUCUCCCAGCCACAGAUCUGUCAUUCACCAGGUUGGAGACAACAUCCAGCCCCAACGCAUGCCCAGAUCCCAGGGUCUGGACUUCUUUUGCUGAGUUUACGCAUAAUGAGGUCACCAAAUCAACCUCUCUCUAAAGGCCCAUCUGAUAUAUGUGAGCACAGCAUACUGGAGAGGCAAAUCCCUUCUGUCCCCAGGCAUGAUAAAGUGGUCACCUGAAGUUUCAGUAUCUACAGAGAAAUUGCUAUUAAACCAAUUUCCAAGUCCCAGACGGGGUCCCUGCUAGGGACCACCAUCCUUCCCUGCUGGGGUUCAGCAUCAACUCCUGCUCUUGGGGCGGUGAGGGGAGAGGGCCGCUUUUGAACUUUUUUUCUGAUAGUCUGAGGUUUUCAAGGGUGUUCUGCCUUUCAGAUUUAUUUCAGCAAGUUGCUGUUAAUUGUGUUUUCAAUUAGUUAUGUUUAAAACAUCUUGAGAUUUGGGCAACUGAAACUGCAGUGCAUCAAUAAUUAUUAAACAGAGGUUCUAAUCCAUUAUUUAUUGAAUAAAUUUUUAAUACUAAUGCAGAAUCCAUUGUCACUGACACCAUGAGUUUGGCCAUUAAGAAAAAAAGCUGACGAAAGGAAACUGAAGCUCCAGGAUUCUUAAAUGAAGGCCCGUGGAGCAGAGCUUCCUGGAGAACAGAUUGGCAGCUGUUUCUCUUUCAUGUCUGUUUAAUCAAGGCUUUGUUGCCUAGGGGAAGGGAGGGGAGUUCCCACAUAGUAGGUAC
RNAcentral lists this long non-coding RNA (2267 nucleotides) under Homo sapiens (human). RNAcentral describes it as "HSALNT0301115". The record is from RNAcentral. Lineage: Eukaryota; Metazoa; Chordata; Mammalia; Primates; Hominidae.